UGCCUAGAUGAAUUUGGUGCUUGCACCAAAUGAAACUAGAUACAAGCGAGCGGCGGACGGGUGAGUAACACGUGGGUAACCUGCCCAAGAGACUGGGAUAACACCUGGAAACAGAUGCUAAUACCGGAUAACAACACUAGACGCAUGUCUAGAGUUUAAAAGAUGGUUCUGCUAUCACUCUUGGAUGGACCUGCGGUGCAUUAGCUAGUUGGUAAGGUAACGGCUUACCAAGGCAAUGAUGCAUAGCCGAGUUGAGAGACUGAUCGGCCACAUUGGGACUGAGACACGGCCCAAACUCCUACGGGAGGCAGCAGUAGGGAAUCUUCCACAAUGGACGCAAGUCUGAUGGAGCAACGCCGCGUGAGUGAAGAAGGGUUUCGGCUCGUAAAGCUCUGUUGGUAGUGAAGAAAGAUAGAGGUAGUAACUGGCCUUUAUUUGACGGUAAUUACUUAGAAAGUCACGGCUAACUACGUGCCAGCAGCCGCGGUAAUACGUAGGUGGCAAGCGUUGUCCGGAUUUAUUGGGCGUAAAGCGAGUGCAGGCGGUUCAGUAAGUCUGAUGUGAAAGCCUUCGGCUCAACCGGAGAAUUGCAUCAGAAACUGUUGAACUUGAGUGCAGAAGAGGAGAGUGGAACUCCAUGUGUAGCGGUGGAAUGCGUAGAUAUAUGGAAGAACACCAGUGGCGAAGGCGGCUCUCUGGUCUGCAACUGACGCUGA
Molecule: ribosomal RNA, 716 nt
Filed under: uncultured Bacilli bacterium
Lineage: Bacteria; Bacillati; Bacillota; Bacilli
Description: bacterial SSU rRNA
Rfam family: Bacterial small subunit ribosomal RNA
Source: RNAcentral